GAUGAAGAACGCAGCGAAAUGCGAUAAGUAAUGCGAAUUGCAGAAUUCAGUGAGUCAUCGAAUCUUUGAACGCACAUUGCGCCCGCCAGUAUUCUGGCGGGCAUGCCUGUUCGAGCGUCAUUACAACCCUCAAGCCCCCGGGCCUGGCGUUGGGGAUCGGCGGAAGCCCCCUGCGGGCACAACGCCGUCCCCCAAAUACAGUGGCGGUCCCGCCGCAGCUUCCAUUGCGUAGUAGCUAACACCUCGCAACUGGAGAGCGGCGCGGCCACGCCGUAAAACACCCAACUUCUGAAUGUUGACCUCGAAUCAGGUAGGAAUACCCGCUGAACUUAAGCAUAUCAAUAAGCGGAGGA
Molecule: unclassified non-coding RNA, 353 nt
Filed under: soil metagenome
Description: partial contains 5.8S ribosomal RNA, internal transcribed spacer 2, and large subunit ribosomal RNA
Rfam family: 5.8S ribosomal RNA (bases 1-120)
Source: RNAcentral